Molecule: ribosomal RNA, 101 nt
Filed under: Apiotrichum mycotoxinovorans
Lineage: Eukaryota; Fungi; Basidiomycota; Tremellomycetes; Trichosporonales; Trichosporonaceae
Description: Apiotrichum mycotoxinivorans partial 26S ribosomal RNA
Source: RNAcentral
ACAAAUCUGUAGAACAAAGGCUAAGCCUCAGCAGAUCGUAGCAACAAGGCUACUCUACUGCUUACAGCACCCCGUUCUAUUCAAGUCGCCUGCAAAGGAUA